Molecule: ribosomal RNA, 351 nt
Filed under: Cardinium endosymbiont of Tetranychus phaselus
Lineage: Bacteria; Pseudomonadati; Bacteroidota; Cytophagia; Cytophagales; Amoebophilaceae
Description: bacterial SSU rRNA
Rfam family: Bacterial small subunit ribosomal RNA
Source: RNAcentral
UAAUUCCGUGCCAGCAGCCGCGGUAAUACGGAAGGUGCAAGCGUUAUCCGGUUUUAUUGGGUUUAAAGGGUGCGUAGGCGGCUUAUUAAGUCAGUUGUGAAAUCCUAGUGCUUAACGCUAGAACUGCAAUUGAUACUACUAGGCUUGAGUUAAGAAGAGGUAGGCAGAAUUUAUGGUGUAGUAGUGAAAUGCUUAGAUAUCAUAAGGAAUACCAAUAGCGUAGGCAGCUUACUGGUCUUUAACUGACGCUGAGGCACGAAAGCGUGGGGAGCAAACAGGAUUAGAUACCCUGGUAGUCCACGCUGUAAACGAUGAUCACUCGAUAUACAUGAUGCUUCAUGUGUGUCUAAG